CCUACGGGUGGCAGCAGUGGGGAAUAUUGGACAAUGGGCGAAAGCCUGAUCCAGCCAUGCCGCGUGUGUGAAGAAGGCCUUCGGGUUGUAAAGCACUUUCAGUGGGGAAGAAAGCCUUGGGGCUAAUACCCUCGAGGAAGGACAUCACCCACAGAAGAAGCACCGGCUAACUCCGUGCCAGCAGCCGCGGUAAUACGGAGGGUGUGAGCGUUAAUCGGAAUUACUGGGCGUAAAGCGCGCGUAGGCGGUCUGAUAAGCCGGUUGUGAAAGCCCCGGGCUCAACCUGGGAACGGCAUCCGGAACUGUCAGGCUAGAGUGCAGGAGAGGAAGGUAGAAUUCCCGGUGUAGCGGUGAAAUGCGUAGAGAUCGGGAGGAAUACCAGUGGCGAAGGCGGCCUUCUGGACUGACACUGACGCUGAGGUGCGAAAGCGUGGGUAGCAAACAGGAUUAGAUACCCGGGUAGUC
Molecule: ribosomal RNA, 465 nt
Filed under: Vreelandella stevensii
Lineage: Bacteria; Pseudomonadati; Pseudomonadota; Gammaproteobacteria; Oceanospirillales; Halomonadaceae
Description: partial 16S ribosomal RNA
Rfam family: Bacterial small subunit ribosomal RNA
Source: RNAcentral